GCGUUGUUAGACCGUAGGGGUAGCGGGAAAGACUGUAAAUCUUUUGCUCAAAAGGCUCGGGUGGUUCAACUCCAUCACAACGCACCA
This 87-nucleotide transfer RNA is filed under the name Klebsiella phage KP13-26. Its description in RNAcentral is "tRNA-Tyr". It matches the Rfam family "tRNA". From Rfam's summary of the family: Transfer RNA (tRNA) molecules are approximately 80 nucleotides in length. Their secondary structure includes four short double-helical elements and three loops (D, anti-codon, and T loops). Lineage: Duplodnaviria; Heunggongvirae; Uroviricota; Caudoviricetes. The record is from RNAcentral.